This 484-nucleotide ribosomal RNA is filed under the name uncultured bacterium. RNAcentral's name for it is "partial 16S ribosomal RNA". It matches the Rfam family "Bacterial small subunit ribosomal RNA", at positions 30 to 507 of the family's 1533-position model. The record is from RNAcentral.
AUUGAACGCUGGCGGCAGGCCUAACACAUGCAAGUCGAGCGGAUGAAGGGAGCUUGCUCCUGGAUUCAGCGGCGGACGGGUGAGUAAUGCCUAGGAAUCUGCCUGGUUGUGGGGGAUAACGUCCGGAAACGGGCGCUAAUACCGCAUACGUCCUGAGGGAGAAAGUGGGGGAUCUUCGGACCUCACGCUAUCAUAUGAGCCUAGGUCGGGUUAGCUAGUUGGUGGGGUAAGGGCCUACCAAGGCGACGAUCCGUAACUGGUCUGAGAGGAUGAUCAGUCACACUGGAACUGAGACACGGUCCAGACUCCUACGGGAGGCAGCAGUGGGGAAUAUUGGACAAUGGGCGAAAGCCUGAUACAGCCAUGGCGCGUGUGUGACGAAGGUCUUCGGAUUGUAAAGCACUUUAAGUUGGGAGGAAGGGCAGUAAGUUAAUACCUUGCUGUUUUGACGUUAACAACAGAAUAAGCACCGGCUAACUUCGUG